GAUGAACGCUGGCGGCGUGCUUAACACAUGCAAGUCGAGCGGUAAGGCCCUUCGGGUACGACGAGCGGCGAACGGGUGAGUAACACGUGGGUGACCUGCCCUUAGCUCUGGGAUAAGCCUGGGAAACUGGGUCUAAUACCGGAUAUGACCUCAUGACGCAUGUUGUGGGGUGGAAAGCCUUGUGCGGCUAGGGAUGGGCCCGCGGCCUAUCAGCUUGUUGGUGGGGUGAUGGCCUACCAAGGCGACGACGGGUAGCCGGCCUGAGAGGGCGACCGGCCACACUGGGACUGAGACACGGCCCAGACUCCUACGGGAGGCAGCAGUGGGGAAUUUUGGACAAUGGGCGAAAGCCUGAUCCAGCAACUCUGCGUGAGGGAC
Molecule: ribosomal RNA, 378 nt
Filed under: uncultured bacterium
Lineage: Bacteria
Description: bacterial SSU rRNA
Rfam family: Bacterial small subunit ribosomal RNA
Source: RNAcentral